AUGGCGGCCGCGACGGCGACCGCUGCCGCACCGGCCGUGUUCGCCCCGGCGCUCGUCUCUCCCCUAUCGCGCCGCGCCUUCUUCCCGCUCCCCCGUCGCGCCGGUCAGCCCGCCAUCCCUCGGUCGCUGCGACUCUUGGCGUCGGCGCCCCCGAGGAGAUGCGGGGUGGCCGUGAAUGCGGCGGCGGCAGGGGCCGCUGACUUCAACGACGAUGAGAGCUCUUAUGAGAUUCUGGGCAUUACCCCACUCGAUAGCUUCGACAACAUGAAGCUAGCAUACAAGAGGAAGCGCAAGGAAGCGGAGGAGACAGGAGAUGAGGACUUCUUGGCCAAGCUGGAGAAAGCGUAUGACACUGUGAUGAUGCAGCAGCUGCAGUAUAGGAAGAAGGGGGUCACAUAUGGAUCGGUUGAGGUAUCAAAGGAUAUCAAGUAUGCUGACAAUCAACCAAUAGUUCCUUGGGGACCUAGACCCUCCAAAUCAGCAGUAAAGGAUGUGCGCAUAAAUAUGGCAAUAUCAGCAGCAAUUGUUGUUUGCAUUGCUAUCAUCGGUAAUGCGGACUGGAAGCCUUUGCAGUUCUUGUGUUUUGCUUUCUUCUACAGAAUACUUCAGAAGCUGAGGGUUACUGAGCCACCAAUAACUCCAAUAUAUAAUGAGUAUGGUGAGGUUGAGGGAAGAGGGGUACGAAUGGCAAAACGUGUAUUCCGCGCUUUGGGUUUGAUAUUUGGAUGUGUAUUCGCUGCGUCCCUGGGUUAUACAAUAGCUCUUAACUUGGUUGAGUUAUCUUGGCAGCAGACUCCCCGUAUUGUUUAUUACUACCAGGAGUUGAUUGUUACAGCAGCUGCCUCUGUUCUGCUGUGCAUCACGGCUUCGUACUACCGAUAA
This 882-nucleotide ribosomal RNA is filed under the name Triticum aestivum (bread wheat). RNAcentral describes it as "partial small subunit ribosomal RNA". The record is from RNAcentral. Lineage: Eukaryota; Viridiplantae; Streptophyta; Magnoliopsida; Poales; Poaceae.